GCCUGGCUGGCUCAGUUGGUAGAGUGUGAGACUCUUGAUCUCAAGGUUGUGGGUUCGAGCCCCACUCUGGAUG
Non-coding RNA from Lutra lutra (Eurasian river otter), 73 nucleotides. The record is from the annotation of a RefSeq genome assembly. Lineage: Eukaryota; Metazoa; Chordata; Mammalia; Carnivora; Mustelidae.